This 420-nucleotide ribosomal RNA is filed under the name bacterium. RNAcentral's name for it is "partial 16S ribosomal RNA". It matches the Rfam family "Bacterial small subunit ribosomal RNA", at positions 355 to 776 of the family's 1533-position model. The record is from RNAcentral.
UGGGGGAUAUUGCACAAUGGGCGAAAGCCUGAUGCAGCGACGCCGCGUGGGGGAUGAAGGCUUUCGGGUUGUAAACCUCUUUCGCUAUCGAACAAGGCCCGCUUAGGGUGGGUUGAGGGUAGGUGGAGAAGAAGCGCCGGCUAACUACGUGCCAGCAGCCGCGGUAAUACGUAGAGCGCGAGCGUUGUCCGGAAUUAUUGGGCGUAAAGGGCUUGUAGGCGGCUUGUUGCGCCUGCUGUGAAAACGCGGGGCUUAACUUCGCGCGUGCAGUGGGUACGGGCAGGCUUGAGUGUGGUAGGGGUGACUGGAAUUCCAGGUGUAGCGGUGGAAUGCGCAGAUAUCUGGAGGAACACCGAUGGCGAAGGCAGGUCACUGGGCCAUUACUGACGCUGAGGAGCGAAAGAAUGGGUAGCGAACAGG